GGCGAUAUGGCCGAGUUGGUUAAGGCGCCAGAAUCAGGAUCUGGUUCGAAAGAGCGUGGGUUCAAAUCCCACUGUCGUCA
Molecule: transfer RNA, 80 nt
Organism: Lobosporangium transversale
Lineage: Eukaryota; Fungi; Mortierellomycota; Mortierellomycetes; Mortierellales; Mortierellaceae
Rfam family: tRNA
About the family: Transfer RNA (tRNA) molecules are approximately 80 nucleotides in length. Their secondary structure includes four short double-helical elements and three loops (D, anti-codon, and T loops).
Source: Rfam